AGAUAUUGUCUUGCUCAGGUUCCCUUGUUGGAGAUGAGGAAACCGAGGCCCAGCGGGGUUAAAUGGCCUUCCAGGGGCCCAAAUUAACACAGUUGGCGAUCUGCGGAGGAACCGAAGUCACUAAUGUCUCCACUCUGUCCUUCACGGGAUAUGGAGAAGCCCAAGGCUAGGGAGAUACCAGUGUCUCCUUUGUGGGGUGCCCAACGACUGAGAAAAUUAACACAGUUGGCGACCUGCAGAGGAACCACAGUCACUAAUGUCUCCACUCCGUCCUUCACGGGAGUAUGGAGAAGCCCAAGGCUAGGGAGAUACCAGUGUCUCCUUUGUGGGGUGCCCAACGACUGAGAAAAUUAACACAGUUGGCGACCUGCAGAGGAACCACAGUCACUAAUGUCUCCACUCCGUCCUUCACGGGAGUAUGGAGAAGCCCAAGGCUAGGGAGAUACCAGUGUCUCCUUUGUGGGGUGCCCAACGACUGAGAAAAUGAUACUGAAGAAGGGAUGGCAACAGUAAUACACUGAAGCUUAGAGACACUCUGAAAAACAUAAGAAGCACAUAAAAUGAUGGGGUAAGACAAAACAAACAAACAAACAAAAAACCUUAGAAACACCUAAUCUACUGAACCAUGAAUUUUGAGAGAAGGGAUUCUAGAUUCUGUUGUAUGCAUCCUUGAAUUUCAAGUGCCAGGAAGAGCACCUAACUCAUAGCAGGAUCUCAAGGCUGUUGUUGAAAAAUGGCUUCACAUUUCCUCAAGGGGUUCCUAAGCAAUAGGAAGCCUUGCAUCGUAGUUCCUCUUCACCAGCCGUUGAGAUUGCAACAGCCCAUCCUGGGCAGUGGGGGAAACUGUGUGCAUACAACUGGCAUAUUGGCAACACCAGGACUGAUUUUAUUUUUAUUUUUAUUUAUUUAUUUAUUUAUUUUGCUUUUUAGGGCUGCGCCCAAAGCAUAUGGAGGGUCCCAGUCUAGGGGUUGAAUCAGAGCUGCCAGCCUAUGCCAUAGCCACAGCAACAUAGGAUCCAAGCCGUGUCUGCAGCCUACACCACAGCUCACGGCAACGCUGGAUCCUUAACCCAUUGAGCAAGGCCAGGGAUCGAACCUGCAUCUUCAUGGAUGCUAGUCAGAUUUAUUAACCACUGAGCCAUGACGGAAACUCCCAGGACUGAUUUUGACUCCUGGCUGAGCCCUGCCUACCAACAUGAACUGUGCCAUCAAAGCCACUUCUGUUCAACAGCUUGUUACUUGCAAUUGGGAAAAUCACCCUUGACCCAAGCAAGUUAAGGGAAGGGAGAAUUUUCUGGGGGCAAAGGUUAGCAUGAAACAUUUGGGAUCCUUUUUGCCCGUGUUGUCCAUAUGGCAUUCCUGCCCGAAUUUGAACUCUUUUGUCCUCAUGGAAGCUCAUGGUCAAAGCUUAGGAUGCACUGAAGUGUCCUUCUGGCCUUGGUCCCCAUGGCGGUGUCCCUGUAAUCAGCUGAUGACCUUGUUCGUGUCAGAUGGAUCCCAGACCUUCCUGGGGUUCCUGCAGUGGUUCACGUUAGAGACUAGAGUUGAAUUUUCCUUUCAUAGCAAUAGCUUUCACGUGUUUUCCAUAAGAGAAAACAGAUGCAGGUGUGGUUAUCUUUUGCAGUCCAUAAAUUUCACAGAGAAUGCAUUCCUUUUUUUUUUUUUUUCCCUCUCUUGGCCUUCCACAGGAAAGGCUGCUGAGGUUUGCCAGGCAUCCAAGACCUUGCUCCUGAGGUGUAACCUCUGAGCCCUGUGCAGUCCACAGCAAGAGACCCAAGCCCGCCCCCCAAACCGCGCACCUGUUUAAACCAUCUGUGGAGCCCAAACACAAUAAAUUUUUCUUGCAGUUCAUUUAUACUAACAGAAUUCACAUGGUUGGAACUGAAUUCUGCAAUUGAGGGAUCUGUGAGGACAUAGCUGGACCUCCCCCAACUGGGCUGCCCUGCUAGUGCUAACACACAUUUCAGUGCAGGGUCCUUUAGAGAUCUCCUAUCCAUGAGCUCAUUUGAGCAAGGAGGAAACCAAAGCAUCUGAUCAGAUGGAGGGACCAGUCUCUCAUGAGGCCCCUGCAGAACGGCAGACAGACUGCUCUGUCUACAACUGCUCAACUCAACUUUCAAUUGUUAAAUACAACCAUUUGGAGAAGGUAUUAGCUGCACCUUAAAUAGACAAUUUUCUAAAGAUAUUUUUACCACUAAAAAAAAGUUCAUGCCUACAGUUAAAAACAGAAUGGUGACAAAAUACUGUUGUGUAACUGCUUUUUUGUUUUAUUUUGUUUUGUUUGCUUUUUAGAGCCAUACCUGUGGCAUAUGGAAAUUCCCUGGCUAGGCGUUGAAUUAGAGCUGCAUCUGCUGGCCUACACCACAGCAGAACACGGAAUGUGAGCCGUGUCUGCAACCUACCCAUAGGUCAUGGUAAUGCCAGAUCCUUAGCCCACUAAGCGAAGCCAGGGAUCAAACCGACGUUCUCAUGGAUGCUAGUCAGAUUCUUAACCCACUGAGCCACGACGGGAACUCCUGUAACUGUUUUCUCUUUUAAUUUAAUUUUUAUUAGAGUAUAGUUGAUUUACAGUGUUGGGUCACUUUCUGCUGUACAGCAAAGUGACCCAGUCAUACCUUUAUAUACAUUCUUUUUCUUAUACUAUAUCCAUCAUGUUCUAUCCUGUACAGCAGGACCUCAUUGCUUAUCCAUUCUAAAUGUCAUAGUUUGCAUCCACUCACCCCAAACUCUCCGUUCAUCCCACUCUCCCACCCCCGCCCCCUUGGCAACCACAAGUCUGUUCUCUAUUUCUGUGGGUCUGGUUCUGAUUUGUACAUAGGUUCAUGUGUGCCAUAUUAAGAAUAACCAGCCUUCCUAACCAUUCAUUUAUAAAGCCAGACAUUUACAUUGUAGCUCAGACACAUCAGCCCCUAGGAUGACUUCAUGCUCAGCAUUCUUGGAUACGUGUAUGUGAUGGCCUUUAUUCUGAAGGAAAGAACGAAGUUAUGUCUUGAGCAAACUCUUCUUCUGCUUCACUACCUUUUUCCUCGUAACUAAUUUUAUUAAUCCUGUUGUGUACAUGGUACUGCCCUUCUGCUAGUUUUCUACUUGAAGAAGGAUUAAAAAUACCCUCGCAAUCUCAAGCAUCAUGAGCAGAACGAAUCACUCGUGAUUAAAUUCCAUAGUGUCAAGACAAUGGCUUUGUUGUGCCGAAAAAUUCCUUAUGGGAAACAAGGCUGAUGCAUGAGGCCUGAUGACAUGAUGAACACGAACGAGUCCAUUCAAAUCUCCUGGUUCACAUUCUGCUGCCAUCUUCCCCUGGUUUCUUUGCUAUUUGGAAGACGUUUCUAUGAUCUCAGAAGUCAGUAUCUCCAUUCAAAACUGACUAUCUCAUUUAAUAAUAUUGUUUCGUUACAUAAUGGUGUUUGUUAUUAAAUAGCAAACAUUUAGUAAUAAUGUUUCAUUACAUUCAAUAAUUGAUGUAUAUGUUUAUGUGAAAAUGUGAGUUUUUAAGAAGGCUCAUAAAAAGGAUUAAAUUAGGAGUUCCCGUCGUGGCCCAGUGGUUAACGAAUCCGACUAGGAACCAUGAGGUUGCGGGUUCGGUCCCCGCCCUUGCUCAGUGGUUAACGAUCUGGCGUUGCCAUGAGCUGUGGUGUAGGUUGCAGAUGCGGCUCGGAUCCCACGUUGCUGUGGCUCUGGUGUAGGCCGGUGGCUACAGCUCCAAUUGGACCCCUAGCCUGGGAAUCUCCAUAUGCCGCAGAGCGGCCCAAAAAAUAGCAAAAAGACAAAAAAAAAAAAAAAGGAUUAUUAAUGAGUAAUAAUGAAUUACUAUUAACACGUUUUCCAAGAUGUAACCAAUCAAUUCAGUUAUAUGGCUGCUUGUGACUAUAGAGCAAUCCCCAAAGGUACAUUGUUUAUGAUGUGGUUUUUCAAUCCAGUUUGUAAGAGAAGAAAUUGUCAACUAAAUUUGUAUCACUACUCAACUUUAGUAGUUGUUAAGGGGAGACCUGAAAAUGGGUGACGAUAGUUUAUUUUCUCAUCUGAGUGAUCAUUUCUUCAUGUGAUUCUCUAUAAUGUAUGAUAUCCUUGUAUAAUUUCUGCAACUGUGUUCAAAACAUUUGGAAGGAGGUGGGGGCCCUGGAGCACAGAUGUGAAGAAAUAACAAAAAUAAAUCAGAAUGUGUGUAGGACAAAGUCAGAGUCUUUUUGAAAAGCAGCAGUGACUGGGGCUUAACAGGUACUGAAAAGAGUUAAAAAAUAGCCAUCAUAAAGUAGUGGCAUAAUGGUUCAGGAACUGAUAAACAUACACAUGUACAUUCCAGAGGCAUUUCCAGAGACAGACAAGAAAUUAAGGUAUGAUAAAGGUGACAUCUUUAUCUGUGGAAACGAGAUUGAGGCAGCUGGCUCUUUUGAAAAUGAAUUCAUGUCUUAGCUCACAAUAUGCAGAUGUUGUAAAGCUUCAAAAAUUAAAAGAAAUGCUAACAAGAACAAAAACAUUGUUUUUAAAAAGAGUGCUAAAAUACUCCUUCUAAAACUUGCACAGUGAUUAAAACAAUGCGUAUGUCUGUUUUAAGCUGAUCAUGCAUAGGUACCAGGGGCUGGAACACUAUGGCAGAUGGACCCCUUCUAACCUGGAGCUGGAUUUGGGGGAGCCCCAUCUAAGAAUGGCUUUUAUAUGUUCAAAGGGUUAUAAAAGGGAAAAGAAAGCAAAUGAGAAUGGACAAAAGGAAGAAAAAGAGAAAAGAGAGACAAAUGAAACCAUAAAGCAUGUGGGACACAGAUACUAUGUAACCUACAAACCCUAAAAUUCUCACUGUCUAGACUUUACAGAACACUCUAUGUCCCCAGCUUUUUAUUAUACACCAAAUAUAAAUAAAGUAUUAAAAAAACAGUACAAGUCAAAUGAAAAUUUGGGGAAAGUAGGAUUUAAAACAUAUCCGAAACUUAGCCUCUUAACCAUAAGAAUACACCAAAAAAAAAAAAAAA
RNAcentral lists this long non-coding RNA (4964 nucleotides) under Sus scrofa (pig). Its description in RNAcentral is "lncRNA (ENSSSCG00040028664.1)". The record is from RNAcentral. Lineage: Eukaryota; Metazoa; Chordata; Mammalia; Artiodactyla; Suidae.